AAUGAAUAUGGUUUUGUGGCUUGCCCAUGGAAUUUCUCCCAGUAUGCUGACAUUAGAAUAAGCAGUUUCUAAGGUUUUAGAGACAGGCUAGCAUCUGUGCAUGUUAAUACGCAUCCAUGUGAGUUAUCUAGGAGUAUAUUGGUGGUCUUUGGCUAGGUUGGGAAUUGGGAUAAAUCUAUGAAACAUUUUGGACUCGAAUAAUAUCUAUGCCUCAAAGUGAUAUUUGUG
RNAcentral lists this unclassified non-coding RNA (228 nucleotides) under Hevea brasiliensis (rubber tree). Lineage: Eukaryota; Viridiplantae; Streptophyta; Magnoliopsida; Malpighiales; Euphorbiaceae. The record is from RNAcentral.